GUGGGGAAUAUUGGGUAAUGGGCGAAAGCCUGACCCAGCAACGCCGCGUGAAGGAAGAAGGUUUUCGGAUCGUAAACUUCUAUCCUUGGUGAAGAUAAUGACGGUAGCCAAGAAGGAAGCCCCGGCUAACUACGUGCCAGCAGCCGCGGUAAUACGUAGGGGGCAAGCGUUGUCCGGAAUGAUUGGGCGUAAAGGGCGCGUAGGCGGCCUGGUAAGUCUGGAGUGAAAGUCCUGCUUUUAAGGUGGGAAUUGCUUUGGAUACUGUCGGGCUUGAGUGCAGGAGAGGUAAGUGGAAUUCCCGGUGUAGCGGUGAAAUGCGUAGAGAUCGGGAGGAACACCAGUGGCGAAGGCGACUUACUGGACUGUAACUGACGCUGAGGCGCGAAAGUGUGGGGAGCAAACAGGAUUAGAUACCCGGGUAGUCC
This 425-nucleotide ribosomal RNA is filed under the name uncultured bacterium. Its description in RNAcentral is "partial 16S ribosomal RNA". It matches the Rfam family "Bacterial small subunit ribosomal RNA", at positions 354 to 796 of the family's 1533-position model. The record is from RNAcentral.